This 203-nucleotide long non-coding RNA is filed under the name Daucus carota (carrot). RNAcentral describes it as "long non-coding RNA (DCAR_LNC006102)". Lineage: Eukaryota; Viridiplantae; Streptophyta; Magnoliopsida; Apiales; Apiaceae. The record is from RNAcentral.
AGGUGGAGCUUGUGAUUUGGAUUUGUAAAAUCCAUGUAAUUACUUUCAUGGGUGCUCAGUGCUCACGCUCAUGAGCUCAUCAAUUGAAUUAGCAAAGUAUGUUUAAGUUAAAUGCCUACUUUGUGGAACCUGUCUAAGUUGGUUUAGCUUUAGGGUGUUCAAACAUAUGUUUAUGUUCUAAAGGGAAGCAUCUUCUAUUUUUU